GUGCGCAAAUAAAAGGACACUAGGAACCAGAUCCUGGGGAAUUACCUUCCAUAAGUCAAACACGUCACCACCAGAAAUACGAAUAAGGGACAGCAUGUUUUUUUCGCAUCCUGACACUCCCUGAGGAUAUCAAAGGAACCCAAAGAGUUCAUUGAAGGAUGCUACGAACCCUGACAUAAUAGUGGCGGCAUCCUUGAUCCCAUCCCAGAGGGAGUUCAUGUUUGAACUGAUCAGCUCAAGAACAGCACAGAGAGCUUCAUGGAAUGGGUUUCCAUGGUCGAGCAGCUGCAUCUAAGCCGUACAUCACCAAGUGCAAUGCAAAACGUUGGAGACACGUUCUUUGGAGUGACAAAUCACGCUUCUCCCUCUGGAAAUCUGAUGGACGACUCUGGGUUUGGCGGUUGCUUGUCUGACUGCGUUAUGCCAAAUUUAAAGUUUGGCAGAGGGGGGAUUAUGGUCAGUGGCGGAGCUAGAGGGGGGGGCAGUGCCAUCUGAUUGGCCCCCCGAGUGGCCCCCCCAGAUGAUUGACAUGUCACGACACUAGGUCAUUUCUGCACAGUGGGUGGCAGUAUUUACCACAAUAGGUUGUGACACUUGUGACAGUUACACGCUCAAAACCAGCAGGGGGCGAUAGGCCAUUUGGACACAGCAGAGUUGAUCCAACAGAAGAGAUGUGAUAAAGAAAUAUUGUACAGCCAAGUGGAAUUCAGCCGAUUUGACUUUGUAGUGGAUUAAUAUCUUACAAUGAAUAUAUUCUUAUCAUAAUGAUUAAAGGGUGUGCUUAUAUAUCUCACAAUGAAUAUAUUUUUGUCACAAUGGUUAAAAGGUGUGCUGUAACUAUACCUAAGAAAGAAUGUGUGUGUGUCACUCCAGAGGUAAAAGAUAAGAGGUAGAGGGUCAAUGCAAACAAACGGAGGCAAGACAUCUGGACCAAAGAGCAAGCCAUUUGCAAUGUAAACGGAACAUGUAUGGUACAAAGGGCUGCAAUGUAAACAGAAAGUGCAUGGUCCAUGUUUGGAAAGGAUAAUGAAAUGUAACAAUGUCUGAAAUGGGUAGUGAUGUGUGACCAUGUUUGGAAUCAGCAGUGAUGUGUAACCAUGUUUUUAAAAAUAAGCACCCUAGGGAAAUUUCCACCGGUAUAUAAUAAGAUUACAAAGAUAUCCGUAGACAAGUACCUGAAAAUACGUAAUAAAGAGGAGGGGCUCGGGAAGGAGCCCCCAAGACCCAGGGAAUGUAUAU
Molecule: long non-coding RNA, 1239 nt
Organism: Fundulus heteroclitus (mummichog)
Lineage: Eukaryota; Metazoa; Chordata; Actinopteri; Cyprinodontiformes; Fundulidae
Exons: 3
Source: RefSeq, a predicted model, not a curated record